AGUCUGUGUACCGUUUUUAGAUUUGUUUUGAUUAUGACAUAUUGACUAAGAUAUGAUAGAUGAGCAAUUAUCCAAAAAAGGAAAUUUAAAAGUGUUCUACAUUGGCAUAGCAAUUCCUUUAUAAAUUGAUCCUUCCGGAGGUGCUUUAGAAUGGUAUCGUAUACUAUCUAUGAGAAAUCCAUUGCACAGUCAACUGAUGUGAAAUCGUUUGUCUAUAGUGUGGUACGCGCUGUCAGCAGCCACAUCCCAACUUCUAGAUCAGAUGCAACUUUUAUUCUGGUAGUAUCUCGUUGCUACCAGCCGUAUCGUCGCUGACAGGGAGCGUUACACAUCUCCAAUAGCUGAAUUCCCGACAAAACACUCGGAAGGUGCUGGAUGUAGAAAUUGAAAUGCAGCAACAGCACCAACCUAAACUUGACGAUAGCCUGAACAUGGGACAGCUUCUCACGCCUGUCGCAGUUAUAGAAGAAUUAUCUCCUAUUACAGUAACAAAUAACCAACAAAACACCAAAAAGAGAUGGAUUGCUAAAUUGUCCUACAAAUUUCAUGAA
Molecule: long non-coding RNA, 551 nt
Organism: Armigeres subalbatus
Lineage: Eukaryota; Metazoa; Arthropoda; Insecta; Diptera; Culicidae
Exons: 3
Source: RefSeq, a predicted model, not a curated record